Molecule: ribosomal RNA, 273 nt
Filed under: uncultured bacterium
Lineage: Bacteria
Description: partial 16S ribosomal RNA
Rfam family: Bacterial small subunit ribosomal RNA
Source: RNAcentral
UACGGAGGGUGCAAGCGUUAAUCGGAAUUACUGGGCGUAAAGCGUACGUAGGCGGUUAAGUCAGUCAGAUGUGAAAGCCCUGGGCUCAACCUGGGAACUGCAUUUGAUACUGCUUGGCUAGAAUAUGGUAGAGGGAAGUGGAAUUCCGGGUGUAGCGGUGAAAUGCGUAGAUAUCCGGAGGAACACCAGUGGCGAAGGCGGCUUCCUGGACCAAUAUUGACGCUGAGGUACGAAAGCGUGGGUAGCAAACAGGAUUAGAAACCCCAGUAGUCC